RNAcentral lists this small RNA (90 nucleotides) under Nannospalax galili (Upper Galilee mountains blind mole rat). RNAcentral's name for it is "Y RNA (ENSNGAG00000004442.1)". It matches the Rfam family "Y RNA", at positions 20 to 96 of the family's 96-position model. From Rfam's summary of the family: Y RNAs are components of the Ro ribonucleoprotein particle (Ro RNP), in association with Ro60 and La proteins. The Y RNAs and Ro60 and La proteins are well conserved, but the function of the Ro RNP is not known. In humans the RNA component can be one of four small RNAs -- hY1, hY3, hY4 and hY5. Lineage: Eukaryota; Metazoa; Chordata; Mammalia; Rodentia; Spalacidae. The record is from RNAcentral.
GUUUAGUCCUGUUUAAAGCUAAUUAUCACAACCAAUUACACAUUUCUCUGUUUCUUCUCCCCUUUCACUGCUUUACUUGACUAGCCUUUU